GGCGGGGUGGGGGGGAUGUAGAGACCUUCUGUCUCUACAUAGUGGCAAGCCGACCGCGGUGCGCGGGAGGACGCUUGCCCUAGGUUAGCCAAUAGAGUAGGUUCGAAUUCUGGCGCGCAGGUAAAGCGCGGGGCAACCCUGCCCGCUGCAGUUGGCAGCACCGUGCCCGCCAAGGAGACGGGUAUUGUCUCCAGGCGCGGCGUCUGAGCGGAGGUGCAGGUGCCCAGGAUAAAAGACGCCUGCACCCCUUACUCGUGGUCAUUCUGGCACAGGCAUCGGCCGCCGAAGGCUCUGCCGGUUAGUGGCUAGGAACUAUAGGGUCUGACCCAGGAGUCUUGCUUUGAGUCUCAUUAAAUCUAAAGACUUAACGCUA
Molecule: long non-coding RNA, 373 nt
Organism: Frankliniella occidentalis (western flower thrips)
Lineage: Eukaryota; Metazoa; Arthropoda; Insecta; Thysanoptera; Thripidae
Exons: 2
Source: RefSeq, a predicted model, not a curated record